ACACAUGCAGUCGAGCGGUAGAGAGGUGCUUGCACCUCUUGAGAGCGGCGGACGGGUGAGUAAUACCUAGGAAUCUGCCUGGUAGUGGGGGAUAACGUUCGGAAACGGACGCUAAUACCGCAUACGUCCUACGGGAGAAAGCAGGGGACCUUCGGGCCUUGCGCUAUCAGAUGAGCCUAGGUCGGAUUAGCUAGUUGGUGAGGUAAUGGCUCACCAAGGCUACGAUCCGUAACUGGUCUGAGAGGAUGAUCAGUCACACUGGAACUGAGACACGGUCCAGACUCCUACGGGAGGCAGCAGUGGGGAAUAUUGGACAAUGGGCGAAAGCCUGAUCCAGCCAUGCCGCGUGUGUGAAGAAGGUCUUCGGAUUGUAAAGCACUUUAAGUUGGGAGGAAGGGCAUUAACCUAAUACGUUAGUGCUUUGACGUUACCGACAGAAUAAGCACCGGCUAACUCUGUGCCAGCAGCCGCGGUAAUACAGAGGGUGCAAGCGUUAAUCGGAAUUACUGGGCGUAAAGCGCGCGUAGGUGGUUUGUUAAGUUGAAUGUGAAAUCCCCGGGCUCAACCUGGGAACUGCAUCCAAAACUGGCAAGCUAGAGUAUGGUAGAGGGUGGUGGAAUUUCCUGUGUAGCGGUGAAAUGCGUAGAUAUAGGAAGGAACACCAGUGGCGAAGGCGACCACCUGGACUGAUACUGACACUGAGGUGCGAAAGCGUGGGGAGCAAAC
Molecule: ribosomal RNA, 726 nt
Filed under: uncultured bacterium
Lineage: Bacteria
Description: bacterial SSU rRNA
Rfam family: Bacterial small subunit ribosomal RNA
Source: RNAcentral